Molecule: ribosomal RNA, 328 nt
Filed under: uncultured eukaryote
Lineage: Eukaryota
Description: partial 18S ribosomal RNA
Rfam family: Eukaryotic small subunit ribosomal RNA
Source: RNAcentral
CCCCUAGAUGUUCUGGGCCGCACGCGCGCUACACUGAACAGUUCAACAAGUCUUAACCUUGGCCGAUAGGUCUGGGUAAUCUUUUAAAUGUGCAUCGUGCUAGGGAUAGAUUAUUGCAAUUAUUAAUCUUGAACGAGGAAUUCCUAGUAAACGCAAGUCAUCAGCUUGCAUUGAUUACGUCCCUGCCCUUUGUACACACCGCCCGUCGCACCUACUGAUUGGAUGACUCGGUGAAAAAUUGGGACUGUGAAGAACACUGCUUAAUUGCGGCGUUUUUUAUGGGAACUUUUUUAAACCUCGUUAUCUAGAAGAAGGUGAAGUCGUAACA